Molecule: ribosomal RNA, 301 nt
Filed under: uncultured bacterium
Lineage: Bacteria
Description: partial 16S ribosomal RNA
Rfam family: Bacterial small subunit ribosomal RNA
Source: RNAcentral
CAGCCGCCGCGGUAAUACGUAGGGUGCGAGCGUUAAUCGGAAUUACUGGGCGUAAAGCGUGCGCAGGCGGUUCGUUAAGACAGAUGUGAAAUCCCCGGGCUUAACCUGGGAACUGCAUUUGUGACUGGCGAGCUAGAGUAUGGCAGAGGGGGGUAGAAUUCCACGUGUAGCAGUGAAAUGCGUAGAGAUGUGGAGGAAUACCGAUGGCGAAGGCAGCCCCCUGGGCCAAUACUGACGCUCAUACACGAAAGCGUGGGGAGCAAACAGGAUUAGAUACCCCAGUAGUCCCUGUCUCUUAUAC